AGUCCAGACGAAGUCUUCCUGCAGUCGAAGUUGGAGAUGAAGUCCGGCUCCCGUAGGAGUCCGGAUGAAGUCUUCCCACUGUCGAGGUUGGAGAUGGAGUCCGGCUCCCGUAGGAAUCCGGACGAAGUCUUCCUGUAGUCAAAGUUGGAGAUGAAGUCUGGCUCCCGUAGGAGUCCGGAUGAAGUCUUCCUGCUGCUGAAGUCGGGGACGGAGUCCGGCACCCAUAGGAGUCCGGACGAAGUCUUCCUGUAGUCGAAGUUGGAGAUGAAGUCCGACUCUCGUAGGAGUCCGGACGAAGUCUUCCUGC
Molecule: long non-coding RNA, 307 nt
Filed under: Elaeis guineensis (African oil palm)
Lineage: Eukaryota; Viridiplantae; Streptophyta; Magnoliopsida; Arecales; Arecaceae
Description: long non-coding RNA (EGUI_LNC041088)
Source: RNAcentral